UAUCAAUCUGAUCUUAUGAUGCUUGUGCUU
Molecule: non-coding RNA, 30 nt
Filed under: Rattus norvegicus (Norway rat)
Lineage: Eukaryota; Metazoa; Chordata; Mammalia; Rodentia; Muridae
Source: RNAcentral